This 818-nucleotide ribosomal RNA is filed under the name uncultured bacterium. Its description in RNAcentral is "bacterial SSU rRNA". It matches the Rfam family "Bacterial small subunit ribosomal RNA", at positions 60 to 867 of the family's 1533-position model. The record is from RNAcentral.
AGUCGACGGCAGCACAGGAGAGCUUGCUCUCUGGGUGGCGAGUGGCGGACGGGUGAGGAAUACAUCGGAAUCUACUCUGUCGUGGGGGAUAACGUAGGGAAACUUACGCUAAUACCGCAUACGACCUACGGGUGAAAGUGGGGGACCGCAAGGCCUCACGCGAUUGAAUGAGCCGAUGUCGGAUUAGCUAGUUGGCGGGGUAAAGGCCCACCAAGGCGACGAUCCGUAGCUGGUCUGAGAGGAUGAUCAGCCACACUGGAACUGAGACACGGUCCAGACUCCUACGGGAGGCAGCAGUGGGGAAUAUUGGACAAUGGGCGCAAGCCUGAUCCAGCCAUACCGCGUGAGUGAAGAAGGCCCUCGGGUUGUAAAGCUCUUUUGUUGGGAAAGAAAUCCUGUUGGCUAAUACCCGGCGGGGAUGACGGUACCCAAAGAAUAAGCACCGGCUAACUUCGUGCCAGCAGCCGCGGUAAUACGAAGGGUGCAAGCGUUACUCGGAAUUACUGGGCGUAAAGCGUGCGUAGGUGGUUGCUUAAGUCUGUCGUGAAAGCCCUGGGCUCAACCUGGGAAUUGCGAUGGAUACUGGGCGACUAGAGUGUGGUAGAGGGUGGCGGAAUUCCCGGUGUAGCAGUGAAAUGCGUAGAGAUCGGGAGGAACAUCCGUGGCGAAGGCGGCCACCUGGGCCAACACUGACACUGAGGCACGAAAGCGUGGGGAGCAAACAGGAUUAGAUACUCUGGUAGUCCACGCCCUAAACGAUGCGAACUGGAUGUUGGGUUCAACUUGGAACCCAGUAUCGAAGCUAACGCGUUAAGUUC